UUGGAGGGCAGUCUGGUGCCAGCAGCCGCGGUAAUUCCAGCUCCAAUAGCGUAUAUUUGAGUUGUUGCAGUUAAAAAGCUCAUAGUUGAAUUUCGGGGUCAGCAGGUUGGUCGUGCCAAUGGUAUGCACUGGCCUUGCUGAUUCCUCCCUCUUGAUGAGCCGUAAUGCCAUUAAUUUGGUGUUGCGGGGAAUCAGGACUGUUACUUUGAAAAAAUUAGAGUGUUUAAAGCAGGCAAGCGCUUGAAUACAUUAGCAUGGAAUAAUGAAAUAGGACGUUUAAUCCUAUUUUGUUGGUUUCUAGGAUUGACGUAAUGAUUAAUAGGGAUAGUUGGGGGCAUUAGUAUUCAAUUGUCAGAGGUGAAAUUCUUGGAUUUAUUGAUGACUAACUACUGCGAAAGCAUUUGCCAAGGAUGUUUUCAUUAAUCAAGAACGAAAGUUAGGGGAUCGAAGACGAUCAGAUACCGUCGUAGUCUUAACCAUAAACUAUGCCGACUAGGGAUCGGAUGAUGUAAUUU
RNAcentral lists this ribosomal RNA (515 nucleotides) under uncultured Glomus. Its description in RNAcentral is "SSU rRNA". It matches the Rfam family "Eukaryotic small subunit ribosomal RNA", at positions 548 to 1068 of the family's 1831-position model. The record is from RNAcentral. Lineage: Eukaryota; Fungi; Glomeromycota; Glomeromycetes; Glomerales; Glomeraceae.